UUUCUGUGAGCGCGCUAAGGUAAGAGGAAUCGAAAUUUUAAUUUUAUAACAAGUAUCCGAUUCCUGACCUCAAGUAUUCGGUUCCCAACCCUAACUAGUACUAACUAAAGACUUAUUUUUUAAUGAAUGUUACCUUCGCCUGAGGCAGGGGAGUUGGAGCUGGGAGACGACGGAAACAUAGUAAAAACAGCGCAUUGGUUGAGAACCUCUCCAAGAUAUCUGGCAAAGCACCAUAUGCCGAAGGCUAAACGACACACAGUUCCACUCAUCCUUCGUUCUCCUCUUCUUACACACAGCAGAAGCAGUAUUUAUCACUGACUGCAGUGGUGUGAAUGUAUGAGACAGCUUAAGACUCAAUCUCACUGUCUCUUGACCAGGGCUUGGCGCUGUGUCAUAUCGAUGGAUACGAGAGCUCGCAUAAAUGUAGAUCUGAACAUGCCAAUCUUAGUGUGAAGGUCAAAUCUUUAUUAGUAGCUCAACCUACACGGUCUUCAUUGGCCUUGAUAUGUUAAAAUAAAAUCUGGAUGUUGAUGUGUGAUCACUGACAACUGUAAUUUAAUGUGGCAGAUCAGCACAAACAAGACUCUGAUCUUUGCCCUAUCAAACUUGUUUUUCUCUGUGUGAAAUAAAAGAGAAGCUUUCUGUGA
This is a long non-coding RNA of Ctenopharyngodon idella (grass carp), 647 nucleotides long. RefSeq lists it as uncharacterized. The record is from RefSeq and is a predicted model, not a curated record. The transcript is spliced from 3 exons. Lineage: Eukaryota; Metazoa; Chordata; Actinopteri; Cypriniformes; Xenocyprididae.